UCCACGGCCCGGAACAAAGCCAGACCUCCUCCCUCCCGGAAUGAAACCAGGCGAGGCGAGGCUUCGACGCGAGACCUGGAGGCGGCGGCGCGCGAGGCGAGGCAGCAGCGAUAGCGCGCGAGGCGCCAAGGCGGCGGCGCGAGGCCACAGCGACGUCGACGGCUACGCUCUCCGCCGCCUUCUCGCCGAUUGUACCAACAGUUCCUAGAAUUGGUGAAGACGAGCCACCUCCAUCCUGGGACCCGAUUUUUGACUCCGAAAGUUUGUUGCAGGAGGCUCCAAGGUCAAUACUCAAGCUGCUAGAAAGGCAUAGGACAAAACCAUGGUCUGAGUAUAAGUGGAUUUAUCAUGCUAUUUUAUCCCGCAUCAUCAUAAGUUACCUACCUAUUGGAUUUUGAGAAUGAGCCUUGUCAGUUUUGUUUAUUGGUUGCUUGGACAAUCUUUUAAAUCUGACUCAAUAGGUCUCUUAUGUAAAGACUCGCACCUGGGUAUUUAUUUUCAGCUUAUUUGAGAGUAUACGGUGAAGAUUCAAAUAUGUUUGCAUGUUUAUGUAAUGAACAAGCAUGUGAAAUUCAGGCUAGUUCAAAAGUCAGCAGCAAUGUGAACA
Molecule: long non-coding RNA, 607 nt
Organism: Panicum virgatum (switchgrass)
Lineage: Eukaryota; Viridiplantae; Streptophyta; Magnoliopsida; Poales; Poaceae
Exons: 3
Source: RefSeq, a predicted model, not a curated record